UACGGGGGGGGCAAGCGUUGUUCGGAAUUACUGGGCGUAAAGGGCGCGUAGGCGGCCCGCUAAGUCGAACGUGAAAUCCCCGAGCUCAACUCGGGAACUGCGUCCGAUACUGGUGGGCUUGAAUCCGGGAGAGGGAUGCGGAAUUCCAGGUGUAGCGGUGAAAUGCGUAGAUAUCUGGAGGAACACCGGUGGCGAAGGCGGCAUCCUGGACCGGCAUUGACGCUGAGGCGCGAAAGCGUGGGUAGCAAACAGG
Molecule: ribosomal RNA, 253 nt
Filed under: uncultured bacterium
Lineage: Bacteria
Description: partial 16S ribosomal RNA
Rfam family: Bacterial small subunit ribosomal RNA
Source: RNAcentral